Long non-coding RNA from Micropterus salmoides (largemouth bass), 713 nucleotides. RefSeq lists it as uncharacterized. NCBI's taxonomy places the organism in Eukaryota, Metazoa, Chordata, Actinopteri, Centrarchiformes, Centrarchidae. The record is from RefSeq and is a predicted model, not a curated record. The transcript has 4 exons.
UGAAGCCCAGAACAGAAGAGGACGUCAUAACUCCACCUUACAUCUGAUUGUUGUGGCAGAGAACUCAACAAGGCUAAUAAUUAUCAUCACGUUGACUCUGGUGGUUGUGAUGCUGAUUCAUCUGCUUCUGUUUUGUCUGUGGAUGAGGAAGAAGAAUACUCUGAGCUCGACCUCUGAACCAAAUGAAACCAUAGAGACGUUAGAGUUGGAGUCUGAUCCUGUUUAUACCAACAUCUCAGCCUUGAAAUAAAACUGUAUGUGACUUGAGUGGAAAACAGUCACAGCAGAGGGACUCACCUGGAUGGAAACAAGGAGAAGUACAACAUUGAAGUAGUGGAGAAGCGGGGCUGUGAACAAAGUGGAUAGAUUUACUUUUAACUCCAAACAUUUUAAUUUUUAAAUUUUAUUAGCAGCAGCAGCUGGACAUCAACAACAGCAUAACUGAAGAUUGUAGAAUGUAAGCUUUAUUUUUACCUGUGCAGGUAUGUUACAUACGCUUAGUAUUUAACUCAAUAUGCUAAAUGUUUUUUAAAAUUCUAAUAUAAUAAAGUGCUUUUAAGAAAUACUGGUUGCCCUUCAUAACACACAUUUCCUGGCCGGGAAAACCAAUAAAGUCUGUUCAAAAGAUACAUGUUUAACGGGAGAAGAAUUAAGUAUUUCACACACAUGUACAGUCUAUAUUUAAACACUGAAACCAAACAGAAGCCCAGCUC